RNAcentral lists this ribosomal RNA (1110 nucleotides) under Salmonella enterica. RNAcentral describes it as "partial 23S ribosomal RNA". It matches the Rfam family "Bacterial large subunit ribosomal RNA", at positions 711 to 1801 of the family's 2925-position model. Lineage: Bacteria; Pseudomonadati; Pseudomonadota; Gammaproteobacteria; Enterobacterales; Enterobacteriaceae. The record is from RNAcentral.
AGACCCGAAACCCGGUGAUCUAGCCAUGGGCAGGUUGAAGGUUGGGUAACACUAACUGGAGGACCGAACCGACUAAUGUUGAAAAAUUAGCGGAUGACCUGUGGCUGGGGGUGAAAGGCCAAUCAAACCGGGAGAUAGCUGGUUCUCCCCGAAAGCUAUUUAGGUAGCGCCUCGUGAAUUCAUCUCCGGGGGUAGAGCACUGUUUCGGCUAGGGGGCCAUCCCGGCUUACCAACCCGAUGCAAACUGCGAAUACCGGAGAAUGUUAUCACGGGAGACACACGGCGGGUGCUAACGUCCGUCGUGAAGAGGGAAACAACCCAGACCGCCAGCUAAGGUCCCAAAGUCAUGGUUAAGUGGGAAACGAUGUGGGAAGGCCCAGACAGCCAGGAUGUUGGCUUAGAAGCAGCCAUCAUUUAAAGAAAGCGUAAUAGCUCACUGGUCGAGUCGGCCUGCGCGGAAGAUGUAACGGGGCUAAACCAUGCACCGAAGCUGCGGCAGCGACACUCAGGUGUUGUUGGGUAGGGGAGCGUUCUGUAAGCCUGCGAAGGUGGCCUGUGAGGGUUGCUGGAGGUAUCAGAAGUGCGAAUGCUGACAUAAGUAACGAUAAAGCGGGUGAAAAGCCCGCUCGCCGGAAGACCAAGGGUUCCUGUCCAACGUUAAUCGGGGCAGGGUGAGUCGACCCCUAAGGCGAGGCCGAAAGGCGUAGUCGAUGGGAAACGGGUUAAUAUUCCCGUACUUGGUGUUACUGCGAAGGGGGGACGGAGAAGGCUAUGUUGGCCGGGCGACGGUUGUCCCGGUUUAAGCGUGUAGGUGUGUGUUCCAGGUAAAUCCGGUUCACUUUAACACUGAGGCGUGAUGACGAGGCACUACGGUGCUGAAGCAACAAAUGCCCUGCUUCCAGGAAAAGCCUCUAAGCAUCAGGUAACAUCAAAUCGUACCCCAAACCGACACAGGUGGUCAGGUAGAGAAUACCAAGGCGCUUGAGAGAACUCGGGUGAAGGAACUAGGCAAAAUGGUGCCGUAACUUCGGGAGAAGGCACGCUGACAUGUAGGUGAAGUGAUUUACUCAUGGAGCUGAAGUCAGUCGAAGAUACCAGCUGGCUGCAACU